GAUGAACGCUGGCGGCGUGCUUAACACAUGCAAGUCGAACGAUGAAGCCCAGCUUGCUGGGUGGAUUAGUGGCGAACGGGUGAGUAACACGUGAGUAACCUGCCCUUGACUCUGGGAUAAGCCUGGGAAACUGGGUCUAAUACUGGAUAUGACUUCUCAUCGCAUGGUGGGGGGUGGAAAGAUUUAUUGGUCUUGGAUGGACUCGCGGCCUAUCAGCUUGUUGGUGAGGUAAUGGCUCACCAAGGCGACGACGGGUAGCCGGCCUGAGAGGGUGACCGGCCACACUGGGACUGAGACACGGCCCAGACUCCUAUGGGAGGCAGCAGUGGAGAAUAUUGCACAAUGGGCGCAAGCCUGAUGCAGCGACGCCGCGUGAGGGAUGACGGCCUUCGGGUUGUAAACCUCUUUCAGUAGGGAAGAAGCGAGAGUGACGGUACCUGCAGAAGAAGCGCCGGCUAACUACGUG
This 466-nucleotide ribosomal RNA is filed under the name uncultured bacterium. RNAcentral's name for it is "partial 16S ribosomal RNA". It matches the Rfam family "Bacterial small subunit ribosomal RNA", at positions 28 to 507 of the family's 1533-position model. The record is from RNAcentral.